This 679-nucleotide ribosomal RNA is filed under the name Curtobacterium sp. RNAcentral's name for it is "bacterial SSU rRNA". It matches the Rfam family "Bacterial small subunit ribosomal RNA", at positions 102 to 794 of the family's 1533-position model. Lineage: Bacteria; Bacillati; Actinomycetota; Actinomycetes; Micrococcales; Microbacteriaceae. The record is from RNAcentral.
ACGGGUGAGUAACACGUGAGUAACCUGCCCCUGACUCCGGGAUAAGCGUUGGAAACGACGUCUAAUACUGGAUAUGAUCACCGGCCGCAUGGUCUGGUGGUGGAAAGAUUUUUUGGUUGGGGAUGGACUCGCGGCCUAUCAGCUUGUUGGUGAGGUAAUGGCUCACCAAGGCGACGACGGGUAGCCGGCCUGAGAGGGUGACCGGCCACACUGGGACUGAGACACGGCCCAGACUCCUACGGGAGGCAGCAGUGGGGAAUAUUGCACAAUGGGCGAAAGCCUGAUGCAGCAACGCCGCGUGAGGGAUGACGGCCUUCGGGUUGUAAACCUCUUUUAGUAGGGAAGAAGCGAAAGUGACGGUACCUGCAGAAAAAGCACCGGCUAACUACGUGCCAGCAGCCGCGGUAAUACGUAGGGUGCAAGCGUUGUCCGGAAUUAUUGGGCGUAAAGAGCUCGUAGGCGGUUUGUCGCGUCUGCUGUGAAAUCCCGAGGCUCAACCUCGGGCUUGCAGUGGGUACGGGCAGACUAGAGUGCGGUAGGGGAGAUUGGAAUUCCUGGUGUAGCGGUGGAAUGCGCAGAUAUCAGGAGGAACACCGAUGGCGAAGGCAGAUCUCUGGGCCGUUACUGACGCUGAGGAGCGAAAGCGUGGGGAGCGAACAGGAUUAGAUACCCUGGUAGU